Molecule: ribosomal RNA, 104 nt
Filed under: uncultured Methanobacterium sp.
Lineage: Archaea; Methanobacteriati; Methanobacteriota; Methanobacteria; Methanobacteriales; Methanobacteriaceae
Description: partial 16S ribosomal RNA
Rfam family: Archaeal small subunit ribosomal RNA
Source: RNAcentral
GCGCGAAACCUCCGCAAUGCACGGAAGUGCGACGGGGGGACCCCAAGUGCCACUCUUAACGGGGUGGCUUUUCUUGAGUGUAAAAAGCUUUGGAAUAAGGGUGG